RNAcentral lists this long non-coding RNA (201 nucleotides) under Elaeis guineensis (African oil palm). RNAcentral describes it as "long non-coding RNA (EGUI_LNC013554)". Lineage: Eukaryota; Viridiplantae; Streptophyta; Magnoliopsida; Arecales; Arecaceae. The record is from RNAcentral.
ACUUAUUUACUCCUUAUCAUCAUGCCCUUUUAGCUAUUGUUCACUCUUUUCAGAAGCCUCAGUCAACUAUAGGGAGGACGGCAGAUGCUAUUCCAAGUUGGCAAUAGGCAAUGUUCGAAUAACUUACUGCCGUUCCAGGCUAAUUUGCUAUGUAAAACGACUAUAUUAGCAAGCCAAUCUAGAUAUUUUUUAAUCUAUGCC